UCCUUGGGGAAUUUCUUUUUAUGCGUUGUGUAUAAUAAGAGUAGUUAAAUGUACAAAUUCAAAAUCGUGACGAUUAAAAUGUGUUAUGAUGUAAUCAGAUAAAAUUGAGGACUUCCUGGUAUGAUUACCAACCAGGUUUUUGUUUUCAUUUAGCUUCCGUGAAUCGUCAAACAUUUACCUGUUUUAAAGAAUACACACGGCGCAGACUUUAUAUAUCGCUGGAAUGUCAAAUAAAAGUAAAACUCCAAAACUAUCCCCCAGUGGUACUGAUAUCAGUACGUUAACCGCUGAAUUAGAAAUUAAAAAUGACUUGCUGGAUAAAAUAGACAAGAAAAACAGCCAGCUGUAUUCCGAAAAUGAGCGACUGAAAAGAGAAAAUAAAAUAUUAGAAAGAGAUAAAGAUGAUGCUCUCUCAAGGU
This is a long non-coding RNA of Mytilus californianus (California mussel), 419 nucleotides long. RefSeq lists it as uncharacterized. The record is from RefSeq and is a predicted model, not a curated record. NCBI's taxonomy places the organism in Eukaryota, Metazoa, Mollusca, Bivalvia, Mytilida, Mytilidae. The transcript is spliced from 2 exons.